RNAcentral lists this ribosomal RNA (864 nucleotides) under Purpureocillium lilacinum. Its description in RNAcentral is "LSU rRNA". It matches the Rfam family "Eukaryotic large subunit ribosomal RNA", at positions 35 to 931 of the family's 3401-position model. The record is from RNAcentral. Lineage: Eukaryota; Fungi; Ascomycota; Sordariomycetes; Hypocreales; Ophiocordycipitaceae.
UAAGCAUAUCAAUAAGCGGAGGAAAAGAAACCAACAGGGAUUGCCCCAGUAACGGCGAGUGAAGCGGCAACAGCUCAAAUUUGAAAUCUGGCCCCCAGGGCCCGAGUUGUAAUUUGCAGAGGAUGCUUUUGGCGCGGUGCCUUCCGAGUUCCCUGGAACGGGACGCCAUAGAGGGUGAGAGCCCCGUCUGGUCGGACGCCUAGCCUAUGUAAAGCUCCUUCGACGAGUCGAGUAGUUUGGGAAUGCUGCUCUAAAUGGGAGGUAUAUGUCUUCUAAAGCUAAAUAUUGGCCAGAGACCGAUAGCGCACAAGUAGAGUGAUCGAAAGAUGAAAAGCACUUUGAAAAGAGGGUUAAAUAGUACGUGAAAUUGUUGAAAGGGAAGCGCUUAUGACCAGACUUGGGCCCGGUGGAUCAUCCAGCGUUCUCGCUGGUGCACUCCGCCGGGUUCAGGCCAGCAUCAGUUCGCCGCGGGGGAAAAAGGCUUCGGGAACGUGGCUCCUACGGGAGUGUUAUAGCCCGUUGCAUAAUACCCUGGGGCGGACUGAGGUUCGCGCUCCGCAAGGAUGCUGGCGUAAUGGUCAUCAGCGACCCGUCUUGAAACACGGACCAAGGAGUCGUCUUCGUAUGCGAGUGUUCGGGUGUAAAACCCCUACGCGUAAUGAAAGUGAACGCAGGUGAGAGCUUCGGCGCAUCAUCGACCGAUCCUGAUGUUCUCGGAUGGAUUUGAGUAAGAGCAUACGGGGCCGGACCCGAAAGAAGGUGAACUAUGCCUGUAUAGGGUGAAGCCAGAGGAAACUCUGGUGGAGGCUCGCAGCGGUUCUGACGUGCAAAUCGAUCGUCAAAUAUGGCAUGGGGGCGAAAGCC